ACCAACUUAAGAGAAGAGCCAUCUGCUGUGAGAACUGCCGGUGUCAAUGAGGACUAAAGAUCAUGAGGCUGCUUUGGUUCACUCUUUUGUUUUCUUAGGGAGUCUUUGAACAGCUUGUGUUCUCAUUCUCCACCUCUUUCCACCUUCUCGAGCCUUCUCAGAUCCAGCCCGUGGUGUGCCAAAGAAACCUCUUCUGCUAGGAGUCUCCCUGAGAAAGUUGAGACAAACAGCUCUCUGCUGAUGCAGAGGUGACAGCCUUCCAUCUGCCUCUGGACACCAGGUCAUUUCUAUUUUUCUGGAGUGGACUAACUGAUCCCUGUCCAGAAAACAGCCCUUCAGCAACUUGCCAACAUGUGGAGCAGAGUUGCCUGUCCAAAGGAGCCCUGCCAUCUGUGGCUGAUCACACCAGAAGAGUGGAAGGUCCUGUGGCUGCGUAAGUUUGAGAGACAGGAGGUAUGACCAUUCAUUAUUUUCUGGCAGACUUCAUAAAGAUUAUAUAAUACAUUAAUCCCUUGUUUGAAUCUCCAGGCAGGUAACAUAGUAGGCAGACCUCCCAGCCAUUCCCACUGAACAGUCAGAACUGGGGAUCUGGGAAAGCUCAUCCACAGCUUCAUUCCCCAAUGUGGUAGCCACUAGUCACAGGUGGCACCUGAAAUGUGACUAGUCGG
Molecule: long non-coding RNA, 668 nt
Organism: Otolemur garnettii (small-eared galago)
Lineage: Eukaryota; Metazoa; Chordata; Mammalia; Primates; Galagidae
Exons: 3
Source: RefSeq, a predicted model, not a curated record